Molecule: long non-coding RNA, 243 nt
Filed under: Elaeis guineensis (African oil palm)
Lineage: Eukaryota; Viridiplantae; Streptophyta; Magnoliopsida; Arecales; Arecaceae
Description: long non-coding RNA (EGUI_LNC016985)
Source: RNAcentral
AGCUAUACCAGCUACUUCCAACCUAUUCUCUCGCAUGUAUCUUCUUCAUCCAAACUCUAUUUGGUUGAUCUUAGUCUUGUUGGAUUUUAUUUUUCAUCCUGAAUCUCAUUCUAGGCUUAUUGUGGACCGAAUCUUGAGAUAUUUUCCUCAACAAUCUCCACCUCAACUUGAUGUCAGCCUCUAUCUGUCUUUGAGAGUUUGUGAUCUAUCUCGCACCCAUGCCUUGGGGCAUGCCUGCUGUCU